CUUGCGCUGCCUGUCUGUGGCUUCUGCCAUCUGUCAGCUUUUGCUUUUCUCGCUGCUGUUUCUGCCUCUGACUUUGACCCCUUGUUCUGGCGGAUGCUGCCUCCACUUCUCUCUGUAUCACCAUAUGAUCACAGCUUCUGGCUGUCUUUGCUCCCGUCUUCUUGUCUCUGGCCUUCUGCAUCCUUCCACCUUCAAACCCUUCCCUUCAAGCCGCCUUGCCUUCUCCCCAUGACUCAGAGACCCCACCACACCAGGCUCUCCGCUGAGUCCUCAGCCUUUCUCCACCUGUGUGCCCGUGGGGAAGGCCUGCAGACUGGGAACAGCUAGAAAGGGCCGAGGAGGAAAGGAAGGGAAGCUAGGUUAAGAAGAGUGGGAGCAGGUGGUGGGCUUACCCUGGCUGGGCCUAGGCCCAGCGGGAGACGGGAGGAAUACAUAUGUGGCGCCCCAACAUAUGGAGCUGCAGUUUAGCAGAUGCUACGUGGCAUACAGAUUUCCGGAAAAUUCUUGCUGCUGUAUUGAGAAUAGAUUGAGAAAACAAGGGCAGAAGCAGGGAGACCAGUCAGGAGCUGAUUGCAGUAUCAGGCUGGUCUGGAACUCCUGGGCUGAAGCUAUCCUCUUGCCUUGGCCUCCCUAAAUGUUGGAAUUACAGACAUGGGCCACUACACCUGGCGAUCUGUGUCUUAUACGAUCUGGACCUGCAUGUCAUACAGCCUCAACGCCAUGUGUCCAGCUUGGCGUGCUGUGUCGGGGGCAGGUAGGGCUGCAGGAAGAACUCCAGCUCGCUCAGCUGCUUCGAGAAGAGAAGCCCGUAUGCAGGCAGCCAGCCCCUGCCUCUACCUCCCACGGUUCACAGGCAGCCAUCACCCAGGUCUGGGCCCUAGAGACGGCGGAGUGGUGGUGGUGAGGGCCUCCGCAGCCCAAG
Molecule: small RNA, 922 nt
Filed under: Pan troglodytes (chimpanzee)
Lineage: Eukaryota; Metazoa; Chordata; Mammalia; Primates; Hominidae
Description: processed transcript
Source: RNAcentral